CCCCCGGGCGCAGGUCCGGCUGGGGAGCGGAACGGCAUGGGAGGGCCGGCCGCAGCGGGUGACAGCCCCGUACGCGAACCCAGACCGGACGGCGCGACGCGGUCCCUGAGUAGGGCCGGGCACGUGAAACCCGGUCCGAACCUGGGUGGACCACCAUCCAAGCCUGAGUACUACCCUGUGACCGAUAGCGCACCAGUACCGUGAGGGAAAGGUGAAAAGCACCCCGGGAGGGGAGUGAAACAGUACCUGAAACCGUGCGCCCACGAGCAGUCGGAGCAACUUUUAGUUGUGACGGCGUGCCUUUUGUAGAAUGAGCCAGCGAGUCGCUGGCGCGGGGCGAGGUUAACCGAAAGGGAGCCGAAGCGAAAGCGAGCCUUAACAGGGCGACUUGAGUCCCGCGCCGCGGACGCGAAGCCGGGUGAGCUAUCCGUGGGCAGGCUGAAGCGGGGGUAAGACCCCGUGGAGGGCCGAACGCACGUCGGUUGAAAACGGCGGCGAUGACCUGCGGAUAGGGGUGAAAGGCCAAUCAAACCCGGAGAUAUCUCGUUCUCCCCGAAAUAGCUUUAGGGCUAGCGUCGCGCGUUCACCGCCGGAGGUAGAGCACCGGAUGGACGAGGGGGCUUCGCCGCCUACCGAAUCCAACCGAACUCCGAAUGCCGGCGGCCCAGAGCGCGGCAGUCAGAGCAUGUGGGCUAAGCUGUGUGCUCGAGAGGGAAACAGCCCGGACCGCCCGCUAAGGUCCCCAAGUUCCAGCCGAGUGGCAAAGGAUGUGCGUCCGCCCAGACAACCAGGAUGUUGGCUUAGAAGCAGCCAUGCAUUCAAAGAGUGCGUAACAGCUCACUGGUCGAGUGGACAUGCGCCGACAAUACACGGGGCUAAGCUGGACACCGAAGCGGCGGGAUUUUGAUUUACAGAAUCGGUAGGGGAGCUUCCCAUGGGCGGAGAAGCCGGAGGGCGACCGACGGUGGAGCGCAUGGGAGUGAGAAUGCUGGCAUGAGUAGCGAGAGACGAGAGAGUAACUCGUCCGCCGUGAACCCGAGGUUUCCUGGGCAAGGCUAAUCCUCCCAGGGUCAGUCGGGGGCUAAGGCGAGGCCGGUAGGCGUAGCCGACGCGCAGCAGGCAGACAUUCCUGCACCGCGCACGCGGCGCUACGACCGACGGGGCGACGGAUGGGGGUGGCUCGGCGGGGUUCUGGACGUCCCCGUGAUGGAGCGCGGCCCGCGGACCAGGGAAAUCCGGUCCGCAUUAAGGGCGAGGCUCCGGACGAAGCGACUGAGCGAAGCGAGUGAGCCCGAGGUCCCUAGAAAAACCCCUAGGCAGGCGCGUGCGCGCCCGUACCGCAAACCGACACAGGUGGGUGGGUAGAACAUACCGAGGCGAUCGGGUCAACCAUGGUCAAGGAACUCGGCACAAUGGCCCCGUAACUUCGGGAGAAGGGGUGCCCGCGCGUACGUGAACGGACUUGCUCCGGGAGCGGAGGCGGGCCGCAGUGGAGAGGCCCAAGCGACUGUUUACCAAAAACACAGGACUCUGCCGAAGCCGCGAGGCGAAGUAUAGGGUCUGACGCCUGCCCGGUGCCGGAAGGUCACGCGGAGGAGUUAGCGCAUCGCGCGAAGCCCCGAAGCCAAGCCCCGGUAAACGGCGGCCGUAACUAUAACGGUCCUAAGGUAGCGAAAUUCCUUGUCGGGUAAGUUCCGACCUGCACGAAAGGCGCAACGACUUGGGCGCUGUCUCGACCAUGGACCCGGUGAAAUUGCACUGGUCGUGAAGAUGCGACUUACCCGCGGAAGGACGGAAAGACCCCGUGAACCUUCACUGCAGCUUGGCAUUGGCCGCUGGUCCCGCGUGUAGAGGAUAGGCAGGAGGCUAAGAUCCGGAGGCGCCAGCCCCCGGGGAGCCGCCCUUGGAAUACUGCCCUCGCGCGACCGGCGUCCUAACCCGAGGCCGUCAACCGGCUCGGGGACCGUGCCAGGCGGGCAGUUUGACUGG
This 1989-nucleotide ribosomal RNA is filed under the name human gut metagenome. Its description in RNAcentral is "bacterial LSU rRNA". It matches the Rfam family "Bacterial large subunit ribosomal RNA", at positions 306 to 2277 of the family's 2925-position model. The record is from RNAcentral.